Molecule: transfer RNA, 76 nt
Filed under: Flavobacterium sp.
Lineage: Bacteria; Pseudomonadati; Bacteroidota; Flavobacteriia; Flavobacteriales; Flavobacteriaceae
Description: tRNA-Phe
Rfam family: tRNA
About the family: Transfer RNA (tRNA) molecules are approximately 80 nucleotides in length. Their secondary structure includes four short double-helical elements and three loops (D, anti-codon, and T loops).
Source: RNAcentral
GGUACCUUAGCUCAGUUGGUAGAGCAAUGGACUGAAAAUCCAUGUGUCCCUGGUUCGAUUCCUGGAGGUACCACGA